GACGAACGCUGGCGGCGUGCUUAACACAUGCAAGUUGAACGAAGUGGCGAACGGGUGAGUAACGCGUAAUCAACCUGCCCUUCAGAGGGGGACACCAGUUGGAAACGACUGCUAAUACCGCAUACUGAAGGAGGGGAUUGCGUCUGCUUAGCUAGUUGGAGGGGUAACGGCCCACCAAGUCGAUGAUCAGUAGCCGGGCUGAGGGGAUGAACGGGCACAUUGGGACUGGGACACGGCCCAGAAUCCUACGGGAGGCGGGAGUGGGGAAUCUUCCGAAAUGGAAGAAAGUCUGACGGAGCAACGCCGCGGGAGUGAUGACGGCCUUCGGGUUGUAAAGCUCUGUUAAUCGGGACGCGGUACCGGAAUAGAAAGCCACGGCUAACUACGUGCCAGCCGCCGCGGUAAUUC
Molecule: ribosomal RNA, 408 nt
Filed under: uncultured bacterium
Lineage: Bacteria
Description: partial 16S ribosomal RNA
Rfam family: Bacterial small subunit ribosomal RNA
Source: RNAcentral